GGAUGCAGGUGAACUACUCCAAGUCUCCCUCACCCUAGGGCACUGCAAAAGGACAUGAUCGAUAGUCUCCUCAACUCCGUGCACACCUGACAAAACUGGGUAACCCAUACUCCUCAUCGAGCUAGCAUGCUUCUGGUCGGUAGGCACCCCCAUGCCACCUUCCAUAUAAGGAGCACCACUCGCGGGUAAACCCGCAUCCUC
RNAcentral lists this long non-coding RNA (201 nucleotides) under Phoenix dactylifera (date palm). RNAcentral's name for it is "long non-coding RNA (PDAC_LNC001730)". The record is from RNAcentral. Lineage: Eukaryota; Viridiplantae; Streptophyta; Magnoliopsida; Arecales; Arecaceae.